GUGCUCGCUUUGGUGGCACAUACCCUAAAAUUGGAACGAUACAGAGAAGAUUAGCAUGGCCCCUGCACAAGGAUGACACACAAACUUGUGAAACGUUACAUAUUUAC
Small nuclear RNA from Cercocebus atys (sooty mangabey), 107 nucleotides. The record is from Ensembl. NCBI's taxonomy places the organism in Eukaryota, Metazoa, Chordata, Mammalia, Primates, Cercopithecidae.